AUUGAACGCUGGCGGCAUGCCUUACACAUGCAAGUCGAACGGCAGCACAGGGAGCUUGCUCCUGGGUGGCGAGUGGCGAACGGGUGAGUAAUGUAUCGGAACGUGCCCAGUAGUGGGGGAUAACUACUCGAAAGAGUGGCUAAUACCGCAUGAGAUCUCUGGAUGAAAGUGGGGGACCGCAAGGCCUCACGCUACUGGAGCGGCCGAUAUCAGAUUAGGUUGUUGGUGGGGUAAAGGCCUACCAAGCCUGCGAUCUGUAGCUGGUCUGAGGGGACGACCAGCCACACUGGGACUGAGGCACGGCCCAGACUCCUACGGGAGGCAGCAGUGGGGAAUUUUGGACAAUGGGCGCAAGCCUGAUCCAGCAAUGCCGCGUGCAGGAUGAAGGCCUUCGGGUUGUAAACUGCUUUUGUACGGAACGAAAAGGCUCUGGUUAAUACCUGGGGUCCAUGACGGUACCGUAAGAAUAAGCACCGGCUAACUACGUGCCAGCCGCCGCGGUAA
RNAcentral lists this ribosomal RNA (504 nucleotides) under uncultured bacterium. RNAcentral describes it as "partial 16S ribosomal RNA". It matches the Rfam family "Bacterial small subunit ribosomal RNA", at positions 30 to 523 of the family's 1533-position model. The record is from RNAcentral.